RNAcentral lists this ribosomal RNA (554 nucleotides) under uncultured archaeon. RNAcentral describes it as "bacterial SSU rRNA". It matches the Rfam family "Archaeal small subunit ribosomal RNA", at positions 106 to 659 of the family's 1478-position model. The record is from RNAcentral.
AACCUGUCGUCGGGACGGGGACAACGCCGGGAAACUGGCGAUAAUCCCCGAUAGGUGGGGGACGCUGGAAUGCCUCCUCGCCUAAAGCUCCGGCGCCCGAGGAUGGGACUGCGGCCUAUCAGGCUGUUGGUGAGGUAAAGGCUCACCAAAGCGGUAAUCUGUACGGGCAAUGGGAGUUGGAGCCCGGAGAAGGGGACUGAGACAAGGCCCCUAGCCCUACGGGGUGCAGCAGGCGCGAAACCUCCGCAAUGCGGGAAACCGUGACGGGGGGACUCUGAGUGACUCUGUUCAAAAACAGAGUCUUUUGUCAAGCGCUAAAAACUUGGCGAAUAAGGACUGGGCAAGACUCGUGCCAGCCGCCGCGGUAACACGAGCAGUCCAAGUGGUGUCCACGAUUACUGGGCUUAAAGCGCUCGUAGCCGGUUCAAAAAGUCUUUUGUGAAAGCCCAAGGCUUAACCUUGGGAGGUGCAAAGGAAACUCUUGGACUUGGAGGCGGGAGAGGCCAGAGGUACUUUUUGGGUAGCGGUAAAAUGCUGUAAUCCUAAAAGGACCG